AUUGAACGCUGGCGGCAUGCCUUACACAUGCAAGUCGAACGGCAGCACGGGAGCUUGCUCCUGGUGGCGAGUGGCGAACGGGUGAGUAAUACAUCGGAACGUACCCUGAAGUGGGGGAUAACGUAGCGAAAGUUACGCUAAUACCGCAUAUUCUGUGAGCAGGAAAGAGGGGGAUCGCAAGACCUCUUGCUUUAGGAGCGGCCGAUGUCGGAUUAGCUAGUUGGUGAGGUAAAGGCUCACCAAGGCGACGAUCCGUAGCGGGUCUGAGAGGAUGAUCCGCCACACUGGGACUGAGACACGGCCCAGACUCCUACGGGAGGCAGCAGUGGGGAAUUUUGGACAAUGGGCGCAAGCCUGAUCCAGCCAUGCCGCGUGAGUGAAGAAGGCCUCGGGUUGUAAAGGCUACUUUCGGUUCGGGGUAAGGAAAGUACG
This 432-nucleotide ribosomal RNA is filed under the name uncultured bacterium. RNAcentral's name for it is "bacterial SSU rRNA". It matches the Rfam family "Bacterial small subunit ribosomal RNA", at positions 30 to 455 of the family's 1533-position model. The record is from RNAcentral.